CUCUGGUGAGCAGAAAAAAUGUCCACUCGCUACCACCAAGCUGCUAGUGAUAGCUACCUGGAACUCUUGAAAGAAGCUACCAAGAGAGAUCUGAAUCUUUCUGAUGAGGAUGGUAUGACUCCCACACUCCUGGCAGCCUACCAUGGGAAUCUGGAAGCCCUAGAAAUAAUCUGCAGCCGAGGAGGGGAUCCCAAUAGAUGUGACAUCUGGGGAAAUACUCCUCUACAUUAUGCAGCUUCCAAUGGUCAUACCCACUGUGUUUCAUUCCUGGUUAACUUUGGUGCCAACAUUUUUGCCCUGGACAACAGCUUACAGUCUCCGCUGGAUGCUGCUGCCAGCAGAGAACAAAAUGAAUGUGUUGCUCUCCUGGAUAAGGCUGCCACUACCCAGAAUAUCAUGAACCCCAAGAAAGUUACCAGGCUGAAGGAGCAGGCUCAGAAAAAUGCUAAGAGGCAGAUCAAAGAAUGUGAGAGGCUCCAGGAGAAGCACCAAAAUAAAAUGGCUCGCAACUAUAGCAAGGAAGAAUCUGGGACUCUUUCUUCUUCCAAUGGCACAUUCUCCAGGUCAUCCCUUGCAAAUGCUUCUGCUUCUGGUACAUUUGGGUCACUGUCUAAGGGCAUUAAAGAUACCUUCAAGUUAAAGCUCAAGAAAAACAAAGAUACAGCAGAGCAGGUAGGGAAAGAGAGCAGAAGUGGGCAGAGGAAUGUGAUGGAAGUGUUCAGAGAAGAGGAAGAAGAUGCAUUCUCAGGGGACUUCCAAGAGAAGCCCCAGUUCUCAGCAGAGGAUGAUGGAUGUGUGCAACAUGAAUCCAUUCUCAACCGUCCAGGUCUAGGAAAUAUUGUUUUUAGAAAGAACAAAAUAUCAAGUCCUGAAGACAUGUCAGACAUCAAAAGGGGGUUGGAGUUUAAAAUGUGCAGUGAAUUGCUUCAGAGACAAGGAGCAGCUGAGGUUGAUGAAGCCGAGGCAGAUAAAGAGGGAGAGGAAAACAGUCAUGAAGAUGAUCUGCCUUGGGAUGACGAUGAAGUGGGGUGGGAGGAAGAUGUGGUUGAUGCUACUCCUCUGGAAGUAUUUCUGCAGUCUCAUCAUCUGGAAGAAUUCCUUCCCAUUUUCAUGAGAGAGCAGAUUGAUCUAGAAGCUUUGCUGCUUUGUUCUGAUGAGGACCUUCAGAGUAUACACAUGCAUCUUGGUCCCAGGAAGAAAGUUCUUAAUGUUAUAAACAGAAGGAAGCAGGUGCUACGAGAGCCUGGGCAACUGGUUGACACCAGCCUCUGAUGGAAUGUUGGGUCCAUAGGGUGAGCCUGCAGCAAUGCGGUGAUGCUGUGGCUCACUGGAAACACUCAGGCAACAGCCCCUCUGCCCAAUGCCAGACUGCUGAGAAUGGUUUCUAGGGUUUCAGAAAUACCCUCCUAGCAAAGAGGCCCAAAUGUACUCAGAAAUACUCUAAACCAUGAGUGAGCAACUCAAGGAGAAUCAGGAAUAAGAAAAUGGUGUUUCUCUUCAAUUAUCCUUUUGAUAUUCUUGGCUAUAGAAAGCAUAAAAUGGAUGACAGAGAAGGGGAAACUUUACUUUUCCAACUCUGAACUAUAAUCUCUUGUCACACAAGUGUGCUGCUUACUUUCUGAGCUUCAUAGUCUGGGGGACUCCCAACUCCAGUCAUCUCCUUAGCUCUGUGACUUUGUAGGUAGAAACUUGAGUUUCUUCAUUGACCUGAGGCUUCACGGCCAACUUAAAUGUGUCUAAACCCUCAACAGAUGUUUACAUGUUUAGAAGUAAGAGACAUGGGUCUAUAAUACUCCUGCCUGGUGACAGAGACAGAGUGGCAGACAGGGAGAGUGAAGAAAGAAAUAGAAUAUGGAAUAUACCUUUUAUGUAAUAUGAAUUGUAUCUCCCCAAAAUUCAUAUGCUGAAGCCUUAAGCUCCAACACAGCUAUAUUUGGAGGUAGGAUCUUUAAAGAGGUGAUUAAGAUUAAAUGAUGUCAUCAGGGUUACAAGGGACACACACAGAUGGUGUCCUUGUAAGAGGAAGAGUUACCGGGUUUGCGCACACACACAGAGAAAAGAUCAUGUGAAGACACAACAAGAAGGCAGCCACCUUCAAGCCAAAGAGAGAGGAGAAACCAAACCUUCCAACACCUCGAACUUGCACUUCUGGUCUUCAGAGCUGUAAGAAAAUAAAUUUCUGUUGUUUAAGCCACCCAGUCUAUGGUACUUUGUUAUGGCAGUCUUAGCAGUCCAAGUCCAGUGUUUAAGCAAGAGGAUAGGAGUGGAGAGAAAAGAAGGAAACUGAAAAAAGUCUGGCCUAUUUGAUGAUUUUUCUAAAGGCUAGGGAAAUAGAAGAGACAUCUUGCCUCAAAAUCAAGACAGCCCUUCCUGGGGAUUCACAGUGUGAGAGAGAUUCUCUAUUGUUGGCUUUGAAGAUGGAGCAUCCACAUUACAAGGAAGGGUUCACAUGUUUCUGAGGACCUUAAAAGGCCUGCUCAUUUUGCAUGAGUAAAACAUCACUGCAGAUGCAGCUGUUUGGUCCAGCCUAGGGACAACUCUGGCCACUG
Molecule: RNA transcript, 2549 nt
Organism: Nyctereutes procyonoides (raccoon dog)
Lineage: Eukaryota; Metazoa; Chordata; Mammalia; Carnivora; Canidae
Gene: ANKS4B
Gene name: ankyrin repeat and sterile alpha motif domain containing 4B
Exons: 4
Source: RefSeq, a predicted model, not a curated record